UUUCCGUAGGUGAACCUGCGGAAGGAUCAUUAACAGGUUUCUCCAGGGACGGGUCAAACCAUUCCCCGGAAACCUCCCUCCCUUUCUAUUAUUAUUUGUUGCUGUGGUGGGCCGUGCGAGCGCCUAGCCGAUCAGCACCGGCUUUUGCUGGACAGCGUAUGCCAGAGGACCCAACUCUGUUAUCUAUGUCGUCAGAUUACUAUUUAAUAGUUAAAACUUUCAACAACGGAUCUCUUGGUUCUG
Molecule: unclassified non-coding RNA, 243 nt
Filed under: plant metagenome
Description: partial contains small subunit ribosomal RNA, internal transcribed spacer 1, and 5.8S ribosomal RNA
Source: RNAcentral